Molecule: microRNA, 20 nt
Filed under: Rehmannia glutinosa
Lineage: Eukaryota; Viridiplantae; Streptophyta; Magnoliopsida; Lamiales; Orobanchaceae
Description: rgl-miR7803b-3p
Source: miRBase by way of RNAcentral
UACACGUGUCAAUCAUCUAU